AUAUGGAGGAACACCAGUGGCGAAGGCGACUUUCUGGUCUGUAACUGACGCUGAUGUGCGAAAGCGUGGGGAUCAAACAGGAUUAGAUACCCUGGUAGUCCACGCCGUAAACGAUGAGUGCUAAGUGUUAGGGGGUUUCCGCCCCUUAGUGCUGCAGCUAACGCAUUAAGCACUCCGCCUGGGGAGUACGACCGCAAGGUUGAAACUCAAAGGAAUUGACGGGGACCCGCACA
Molecule: ribosomal RNA, 233 nt
Filed under: Staphylococcus aureus
Lineage: Bacteria; Bacillati; Bacillota; Bacilli; Caryophanales; Staphylococcaceae
Description: partial 16S ribosomal RNA
Rfam family: Bacterial small subunit ribosomal RNA
Source: RNAcentral